RNAcentral lists this ribosomal RNA (368 nucleotides) under uncultured organism. RNAcentral describes it as "bacterial SSU rRNA". It matches the Rfam family "Bacterial small subunit ribosomal RNA", at positions 526 to 896 of the family's 1533-position model. The record is from RNAcentral.
CGGAGGGUGCAAGCGUUAUCCGGAUUCACUGGGUUUAAAGGGUGCGUAGGUGGCUUUGUAAGUCAGUGGUGAAAUCUUAGAGCUUAACUCUAAAACUGCCAUUGAUACUGCUUAGCUUGAAUCAAGUCGAGGUGGAUGGAAUAUUACAUGUAGCGGUGAAAUGCUUAGAUAUGUAAUAGAACACCGAUUGCGAAGGCAGUUCACUAGGCUUGUAUUGACACUGAGGCACGAAAGCGUGGGGAUCAAACAGGAUUAGAUACCCUGGUAGUCCACGCCCUAAACGAUGUAAACUCGACAUUAGCGAUAUACUGUUAGUGUCCAAGCGAAAGCGUUAAGUUUACCACCUGGGAAGUACGACCGCAAGGUUG